UACGUAGGGUGCGAGCGUUAAUCGGAAUUACUGGGCGUAAAGCGUGCGCAGGCGGCUUACUAAGACAGGUGUGAAAGCCCCGAGCUUAACUUGGGAAUGGCGCUUGUGACUGGUAGGCUGGAGUGUGGCAGAGGGAGGUGGAAUUCCACGUGUAGCAGUGAAAUGCGUAGAGAUGUGGAGGAACACCGAUGGCGAAGGCAGCCCCCUGGGCUAACACUGACGCUCAGGCACGAAAGCGUGGGGAGCAAACAGG
RNAcentral lists this ribosomal RNA (253 nucleotides) under uncultured bacterium. RNAcentral's name for it is "partial 16S ribosomal RNA". It matches the Rfam family "Bacterial small subunit ribosomal RNA", at positions 524 to 776 of the family's 1533-position model. The record is from RNAcentral.